GACCUUUGAUGCAAUCCGCUUGGUCAAGGAAGUUGAUUGCCUAGGUCGCGGCUCGGUUUGUGCAUAUUGCCAAUACUUGAAUAGACUUCGGUUGAAAGAAAAAUGCACAAU
This 111-nucleotide non-coding RNA is filed under the name unclassified sequences. RNAcentral describes it as "drum RNA". It matches the Rfam family "drum RNA". From Rfam's summary of the family: Firmicutes, Bacteroidetes (1 example), Proteobacteria (2 examples), Spirochaetes (2 examples). The record is from Rfam by way of RNAcentral.